AAGUCGUAACAAGGUUUCCGUAGGUGAACCUGCGGAAGGAUCAUUAUUGAAUGAACUUGGUAUGAUUGUUGCUGGCCCGUCUGGGCAUGUGCACGUCUGCCAUCUUUAUCUAUCCACCUGUGCACAUAUUGUAGGUCUGGAAUAAAUUUCUGAGGCAACUCAGCGGUGGGGAAUGCUGCUGCGAAGUGGCUUUGCCUGUAAUUUCAGAUCUAUGUUUUUCAUAUACACCAUAAAAAUGUAACAGAAUGUAUUAAUGGGUCUUGUACCUAUAAACUAUAUACAACUUUCAGCAACGGAUCUCUUGGCUCUC
Molecule: unclassified non-coding RNA, 310 nt
Filed under: Pholiota adiposa
Lineage: Eukaryota; Fungi; Basidiomycota; Agaricomycetes; Agaricales; Strophariaceae
Description: partial internal transcribed spacer region
Rfam family: Eukaryotic small subunit ribosomal RNA (bases 1-46)
Source: RNAcentral